Molecule: long non-coding RNA, 308 nt
Filed under: Brassica napus (rape)
Lineage: Eukaryota; Viridiplantae; Streptophyta; Magnoliopsida; Brassicales; Brassicaceae
Description: long non-coding RNA (BNAP_LNC027197)
Source: RNAcentral
CUCUUAAGUCCAGUGUGUUUUCAGGAGGAUCAAUCAAUACCGGUUUAAUAGAAGAGAUCGUGAAGGAAGGAAUGAAAAUAAAGAAAAACAUUUGAUUAACUAUGUAAUUUGAGUGGAAUUUUCGUUUUUACCUUUUCAUUAUCCCUUAUAUACUAAAUCACAAGUCACACAACCAAUCCUAUUUUGCCACAUGUUUUAAGUUUCAUUUAUCAAAAAAAGUUAAAAAAAAUUGAAACAAAGCAGUUUUUGACAUCUAUAUUUCCAACGAAAAAAAAGAACAAAAUUUUUGUAUUCCUUGCCACGAUCUC